GGCCACAUAGCGGUCAUAGGCCAUCACCAGCAGAAGAAAGACCUCUGAUCCACCAAAAAAGUGCUCUGUAAAGAGCUGAGCCAUACAAGAUUGGAAGGAUAUGGUAUUUUCCCCAAAGAACAAGUUUGAAAUCAGUUUGGGGGAUAUAGAUGAGGAAUAAAUGACAUCUAUAAAUGACAAGCUACCAAGAAAAAAGUACAUUGGUGAGCCCAGGCUCUUACUGAAAGUUACAGUCACAACAAUGAGCAUGUUGCCUAUCAUGGUCAAAAUAUAGAAGAGCAAGAACAUAAAAAAAAGAACUGUCUGCUCCUUUGUAUUCUGCGUGAGACCCAAGAGGACAAAGGUCUGUGUCAGCACACCUGUCCUGGGUCACAACAAUGGCUACCAUCAAUGUCCCAGUCUCCAGAGAGGUAUCACCUCCCACCAAGAUGCACCUACAGCCUACCAGGUGUUUUCAUGGAAAUCAAACCAACAAAUGCAUCACUUUCAAGUCUUUGGAGGUACGGGGCCAAUAUAUAUCAGAGAAUAAGAGAGAUUCUGGUAUGCUAAGAAGAUUGGAGACCAUUCCAGCCCCAAGACUCUUUCAAGGCCAUUCAAUUUUCAGAGUGUUCUUCUCAGCAGGGAUAGAGAAAUCAUGUAUACCUCUUUUUAAAUCCAAAAAAAAGUUAGCUUAACAUUCUAGGCCAGGUGAAUAGUUUCCUAACAAUUUAAAAUAUUGCAGCAAUAAAAUGUGUUCAUAAUAACUAAAAAUUUGAGAAUUUGGUUGUCUAAGAGUUUAUAUAAAUUAUUUUAUUUGAUCUUGGGAAUAUCUCCAUCAUUCCUCGCUAACUGAAACCAAAAGGUGUCAUAUUUUGCCAAAAUUAACAUGACACACAGCAAAGCUAUGAUUGUCUAACCCAAUCACUAUGCUCUUACCCGUUAUAGUGUAAUAAGCCCUAUCACCCUUUCCUCAAAAAUGUACAUAAAAUACAUGAUACAUAAAAUCUCCUUCACAGGGAAAAACAGAAAAAUAAUGCUCUCAAUGUGAAUGAUUAGUUAAGAUUAUAAUAGCCAUGAGUUUUAGUCCAAUUUGUGUACUAAAAAUAGACAGUAGAACUUUCCUUUUGGGAGAAGAAAGAGAAAACGAAAGAAUCAG
This 1135-nucleotide long non-coding RNA is filed under the name Equus caballus (horse). RNAcentral describes it as "lncRNA (ENSECAG00000058222.1)". The record is from RNAcentral. Lineage: Eukaryota; Metazoa; Chordata; Mammalia; Perissodactyla; Equidae.